CAGCAGCCGCGGUAAUACGUAGGGUGCGAGCGUUAAUCGGAAUUACUGGGCGUAAAGGGCUCGCAGGCGGUUUCUUAAGUCUGAUGUGAAAGCCCCCGGCUCAACCGGGGAGGGUCAUUGGAAACCGGGAAACUUGAGUGCAGAAGAGGAGAGUGGAAUACCACGUGUAGCGGUGAAAUGCGUAGAGAUGUGGAGGAACACCAGUGGCGAAGGCGACUCUCUGGUCUGUAACUGACGCUGAGGAGCGAAAGCGUGGGGAGCGAACAGGAUUAGAGACCCCAGUAGUCCCUGUCUCUUAUAA
This 301-nucleotide ribosomal RNA is filed under the name uncultured bacterium. RNAcentral describes it as "partial 16S ribosomal RNA". It matches the Rfam family "Bacterial small subunit ribosomal RNA", at positions 509 to 809 of the family's 1533-position model. The record is from RNAcentral.